Molecule: ribosomal RNA, 962 nt
Filed under: Tethya sp. NZCC2
Lineage: Eukaryota; Metazoa; Porifera; Demospongiae; Tethyida; Tethyidae
Description: SSU rRNA
Rfam family: Eukaryotic small subunit ribosomal RNA
Source: RNAcentral
CUCAAGACUAAGCCAUGCAUGUCUAAGUAUAAUGCUUCUAUACUGUGAAACUGCGAAUGGCUCAUUAAAUCAGUUAUAGUUUAUUUGAUGGUUCCUCACCACUUGGAUAUCCGUGGCAAUUCUAGAGCUAAUACAUGCACAAAGUCCCGACUUCUGGAAGGGAUGUAUUUAUUAGAUCCAAAACCAGCGCGAGUCCUCUGGGCUCGGUUUGUUGGUGAUUCAUGAUAACUUCUCGAACCGUAUGGCCUUCGUGCCGACGGUGCUUCAUUCAAAUUUCUGCCCUAUCAACUUUCGAUGGUACGGUAGUGGCCUACCAUGGUUGCAACGGGUGACGGAGAAUUAGGGUUCGAUUCCGGAGAGGGAGCCUGAGAAACGGCUACCACUUCUAAGGAAGGCAGCAGGCGCGCAAAUUACCCAAUCCCGACUCGGGGAGGUAGUGACAAUAAAUAACAAUGCCGGGCUAUCGUAGUCUGGCAAUUGGAAUGAGUACAAUCUAAACCCCUUAACGAGGAACAAUUGGAGGGCAAGUCUGGUGCCAGCAGCCGCGGUAAUUCCAGCUCCAAUAGCGUAUAUUAAAGUUGUUGCAGUUAAAAAGCUCGUAGUUGGAUUUCGGGGCAGCCUGGCUGGUCUGCCGCAAGGCGUGUACUGGUCAGCUGCUCUUCCUCUCGAAAGCCCCGACUGCUCUUCAUUGCAGUGGUCGGGUAGUUCGGGACGUUUACUUUGAAAAAAUUAGAGUGUUCAAGGCAGGCUCUCGCCUGAAUACAUUAGCAUGGAAUAAUGGAAGAGGACCUCGGUCCUAUUUUGUUGGUUUCUAGGGCCGAAGUAAUGAUUAAGAGGGACAGUUGGGGGCAUUCGUAUUUAAUUGUCAGAGGUGAAAUUCUCGGAUUUAUGAAAGACGAACAACUGCGAAAGCAUUUGCCAAGGAUGUUUUCAUUAAUCAAGAACGAAAGUUAGGGGUUCGA